This 382-nucleotide ribosomal RNA is filed under the name uncultured eukaryote. RNAcentral describes it as "partial 18S ribosomal RNA". It matches the Rfam family "Eukaryotic small subunit ribosomal RNA", at positions 593 to 976 of the family's 1831-position model. The record is from RNAcentral.
AAUAGCGUAUAUUAAAGUUGUUGCAGUUAAAAAGCUCGUAGUUGGAUUUCUGGUGGGAGCGAUCGGUCUGGCGCUUAGCGCGAGUACUUGCAUCGUCUCCGGCCAUCCUUGGGGAGAGUCUGUCUGGCAUUAGGUUGUCGGGCAGAGGAUCCUCAUCGUUUACUGUGAAAAAAUUAGAGUGUUCAAAGCAGGCUUAUGCCGUUGAAUAUAUUAGCAUGGAAUAAUAAGAUAGGACUUUGGUACUAUUUUGUUGGUUUGCGCACCAAAGUAAUGAUUAAUAGGGACAGUUGGGGGUAUUCGUAUUCCGUUGUCAGAGGUGAAAUUCUUGGAUUUACGGAAGACGAACUACUGCGAAAGCAUUUACCAAGGAUGUUUUCAUUAA